CCCAACAGUAGUUCAGUCAGUAAGAGCAUGUGACUCUUAAUCUCAGGGCUGUGGGUUCAAGUCCCAAUGUUGGGC
Molecule: non-coding RNA, 75 nt
Organism: Podarcis lilfordi (Lilford's wall lizard)
Lineage: Eukaryota; Metazoa; Chordata; Lepidosauria; Squamata; Lacertidae
Source: the annotation of a GenBank genome assembly